RNAcentral lists this ribosomal RNA (554 nucleotides) under Rhizophagus irregularis. Its description in RNAcentral is "SSU rRNA". It matches the Rfam family "Eukaryotic small subunit ribosomal RNA", at positions 557 to 1112 of the family's 1831-position model. Lineage: Eukaryota; Fungi; Glomeromycota; Glomeromycetes; Glomerales; Glomeraceae. The record is from RNAcentral.
AAGUCUGGUGCCAGCAGCCGCGGUAAUUCCAGCUCCAAUAGCGUAUAUUAAAGUUGUUGCAGUUAAAAAGCUCGUAGUUGAAUUUCGGGGUUAGUAGGUUGGUCAUGCCUCUGGUAUGUACUGGUCUCACUGAUUCCUCCUUCCUGAUGAACCGUAAUGCCAUUAAUUUGGUGUUGCGGGGAAUUUGGACUGUUACUUUGAAAAAAUUAGAGUGUUUAAAGCAAGCUAACGCUUGAAUACAUUAGCAUGGAAUAAUGAAAUAGGACGUUCGAUCCUAUUUUGUUGGUUUCUAGGAUUGACGUAAUGAUUAAUAGGGAUAGUUGGGGGCAUUAGUAUUCAAUUGUCAGAGGUGAAAUUCUUGGAUUUAUUGAAGACUAACUACUGCGAAAGCAUUUGCCAAGGAUGUUUUCAUUAAUCAAGAACGAAAGUUAGGGGACCGAAGACGAUCAGAUACCGUCGUAGUCUUAACCAUAAACUAUGCCGACUAGGGAUCGGAUGAUGUUAAUUUUUUAAUGACUCAUUCGGCGCCUUACGGGAAACCAAAGUGUUUGGGU